Molecule: non-coding RNA, 777 nt
Filed under: Cleora fraterna
Lineage: Eukaryota; Metazoa; Arthropoda; Insecta; Lepidoptera; Geometridae
Source: RNAcentral
GAUAAAUUUUAUAUAGUUUAAAAAAUUUAUUUUAAAUUUAUUUUACAUAUAAAUUUUAGUGUUAAUAAAUAUUUAUUUUAAAAAUAUUAUUUAUUUAGUAGUAAUUAAUAUUAAAAAUUUAAGAAAUUAAGAUUUAGUAAUAUUAAAAUUAUUAACAAAUUUUGUGCCAGCAGUUGCGGUUAUACAAAAAUUAAAUUAAAUUUUAUUAGUUAUUUAAUAAUUAAUUUUUAUUUAAAUUAAAAUUAAAAUUAUUAGGUGAAAUUUUAAUUUUAUAUUAUUUUAUUUGAUUAAAUUUAUGAUUUAAUAAAUUUUAUUAUUAAACUAGGAUUAGAUACCCUAUUAUUAAAAAUUUAAAAUUAUAAUACUAAAAUAGUAAAUAAUUAUUUAUUGAAACUUAAAUAUUUUGGCGGUAUUUUAGUUUAUUUAGAGGAAUCUGUUUAUUAAUUGAUAGUCCACGAAUUAAUUUACUUAAUUUAUUAUUUUGUAUAUCGUUGUUAUAAAAAUAUUUUUUAAUAAUUAUAAUAUUUUAAAAUUAUGAAUAAAAAUUAAAUCAAAUCAAGAUGCAGAUUAUAAUUAAGAAUAUAAUGGAUUACAAUAAAUUUAUUUAAAUGAAUUUUAAUUUGUAAUAAUUAAAUAAAAGUGGAUUUAAAUGUAAUUUAAUUUAAUUUAAUUAAAUGAUUUAAAAUUAAAAUAUGUACAUAUUGCCCGUCGCUUUCAUAAAUAAAUUGAAAUAAGUCGUAACAAAGUAGAGGUACUGGAAAGUGUUUCUAGAAAGAA